RNAcentral lists this ribosomal RNA (253 nucleotides) under uncultured bacterium. RNAcentral's name for it is "partial 16S ribosomal RNA". It matches the Rfam family "Bacterial small subunit ribosomal RNA", at positions 524 to 776 of the family's 1533-position model. The record is from RNAcentral.
UACGUAGGGUGCGAGCGUUAAUCGGAAUUACUGGGCGUAAAGGGUGCGUAGGCGGUUGACUAAGUCAGAUGUGAAAUCCCCGGGCUCAACCUGGGAAUGGCAUUUGAGACUGGUCGGCUAGAGUGUGUCAGAGGGGGGUAGAAUUCCACGUGUAGCAGUGAAAUGCGUAGAGAUGUGGAGGAAUACCGAUGGCGAAGGCAGCCCCCUGGGAUAACACUGACGCUCAGGCACGAAAGCGUGGGGAGCAAACAGG